GCAGUACAGGGUGGUGAUGGCUAUGGGGAAAAAGCUAUUUCUCAGACUAUUCGUUCUUGCUUUCAGACAUCUGUAGUGCCUGCCAGAGGGCAACAGCUCAAACAGCUGAGAACCAGGAUGUGAAGUGUCUGGAGUGAUGUUACAGGCUCUGCUGAGACACCAGGAGGUGUAGAUGUCCAUCAUGGACGGGAGAGAACAGCCAACAAUCCUCUGUGCUGCUCUGACUGUUCUCUGAAGCCUUGUUCUGUCAGCCUAAGUGCCGCUCCUGUACCAGGUGGAGAUGCAGUACGUCAGCAAGCUCUCGAUGGCAGAGCGGUAGAAGGCCAGCAGCAGCUUACUGUCCAAGUUGUUCCUCCUGACGACUCUCAGGUGGUGUAGACGCUGCUGAGCCUUCUUGAUGACAGCCAUGAUGUUGUGUGUCCAGGAGAGGUCAUCGGAGAUCUGGACUCCCAGGAACCUGAAUGUGUGGACUCUUUCCACAUACUCGCCAUUGAUGGAGAGGGGGGGCGGCUCAGUUCUGUUCCUCCUGAAAUCCACAAUGAUCUCCUUCGUUUUGGCAGUGUUCAGUGUCAGGUUGUUGUCUGAGCACCAGGUCGAGAGUCUCUGCACCUCCUCUCUGUAAGCUGACUCAUCUCCUCUUGAAAUCAGUCCAACCACGGUAGUGUCAUCUGCGACGAUAAGGUUGUUUUCGUGGCUUGGGCUGCAGUUGGAGGUGUAGAGGCAGUACAGGAGGGGGCUCGGCACACAGCCCCGGGGUGACCCGGUGCUCAGCGUGCGGGUGGGGGAGAGGUGGGGGCCAAGUCUCACCGUCUGGGGUCUGUUGGUCAGAAAGUCCUUAAUUCACGAGCAGGUGGGAGGGGGGAGGCCCAGGGUGACCAGUUUGGUGAUGAGGAUGUCCAGAAUGAUGGUGUUGAAUGCCGAACUAUAAUCCACAAAGAGCAUCCUGGCAUAGCUCUGCUGUUGUUCCAGGUGUCUCAGCACAGCGUGCAGAGCUAUGGCGAUGGCGUCCUCUGUUGAUCUGUUAGCGCGGUAAGCAAACUGGUGGGGGUUUAGUGUCGGGGGGAGACAGUCCUUGAUGUGCAUGAGAACCAGCCUGUCAAAGCACUUCAUGAUUAUAGGUGUGAGGGCAACAGGGCGGUAGUCAUUUGGGCUGGUUGUAGGUGACUUCUUUGGCACUGGGUUUAUUUUGGCAGUCUUCAGGCUGGUGGGGAUGGCUGCUUGGGCCAGGGAGAGGUUGAAAAUCUUGCAGAAAACACAUGACAGCUGGUGUGCACAUGCUCUGAGCACCUUGCCUGGCACUUUGUCUGGGUCAGCAGCCUUCCUGGGGUUUACUGCCAGUAGCACACGCCUCACAUCAUGCUCCUCUGUGGUGAACACUGGGGUGGUGAGCGCUGGGGUGGUGGAUCCUGACAAGGGUGAUGGCUGGGCUGGAGCAGAGGAGUGGUGCUGCGUUGAGUCAAAGCGGGCAAAGAGUUCCUCUGCUAGUGCCGCACUCAGGUCUCCUGGUGAAGCAUCACAGCCUCUGUAGUUGGUGAUGCUUUGAGGACCCUUCCACAUCUCCCGUGGUCUGUUGCUGGUGAGGUGGGACUCUAUCUUCUUGUUGUAGUCCUCUUUGGCAUUUUUAACACCUCUCCUCAGGUCAGCUGGAGCCGCACUGUGGAGAGCCCUGUCACCUGACCUGAAGGCAGCGUCACGGGCCUUGAGGAGGGAACGGACCUGGCCGGUCAUCCAUGGUUUACUGUUGGGAUACAUCCGGAUGCGUUUAUCCACAGUCUCUAUAACCACACUGUUGUUACACCAGUCCUCAUGGAUGUAGAUACAGAGCCCACCACCUCUGCUUUUACCUGACUUCUCAGUCCGAUUGCAGCAGUGCAGGGAGCGGCCCACUAACUGCAUGCCAGGGCCAGGGAUUCUCGAAUUCAGCCAACUCUCCGUAAUAAUGUGAACACAACAGUCCCGAACCGUGCGAAUUCCUGCGAGCUGUAGUUUCAGGUCGUCCAUUUUAUAUGUGAUGGAUCUGGCGUUGGUGAGGUACAGGCUCGGCAGAGGUGGUUUCUGUGGGUUGUUCCUUAGCUUCAGCCGGAGGCCGGCUCUGCAGCCUCACUUCUGCCUCCUCUUCCUUCUCUGCCUUCGCCGCUUGCCAGGCCUGACAACAAUCCACGGAGCAUCCGGUGGUUAGUUUGUCUGGGAUGUUGUGGAUGGAUUGAAAGUCCCUUGAAACUGUUGUUUUUUGUCGGUAUCCUAUAUCUACAAGAUCCUGGCGGGUGUAGCAGUAGUUUGCUGAGCAGUGGUUUGCCGAGGCAAAUGUACUUAAAGCACACAAACAAACAAAGAUAGACAAAAAUGAGCGCUGAAAGGGAGAGGUGUAAGCCGCUGCUAGGUGCACGCCGCCAUCUUGGCCAAAAUGGGCCUGAUCCACUAAAGGUCUGUGUGUGUAAAAACAUGUGCAAACUUGAAAGAGCAUGCAAACCUGAUCUGCACCGAGGAUUGCGCCUGUCAAAUGCGCAACCACAGUGUGAUCAAACCCAGAAGCCGAUUGCGGUCGCUGUUUCGCAUCUAUAUUUAACACGUUUGAAAGGCACGUGCAAACUGGAGCAGCAUUGCGCACCGUCAUUGUGGAGAGAAGGAUGCAGAAGUGCCAUGAUACAUGCCAUGAUCUUUGUCCAAAGCUUGUGAUUUAUUUCGUAUUUCUGGUAAAUGACAAUUUUCAUAAAUAAGGGCAAACACGAAACGGACGAAAAAAUUUAUCUGUUUGUGUUAUCAUUUUAAAUUGUUUUAAUCCCUGUUUUGAUUUCUAGUAUAUGUUCUUGUAUCUGUAAAGCACUUUGAAUUGCCUUGUGUAUGAAUUGUGCAAUACAAAUAAACUUGCCUUGCCUUUUAUGCAGUUCCCUAAAACGAUAUGUACAACUCCAUGGUUUCAAACUCUGCUCUCACAAACUGCCCAUGGUGACAGCCGAUAGAGUGCGCAAAAUCCUGGUUUAAAGAGGGCGAACCACUUUUGCUCCCACUAUCACUUGUCCAUGCAAUGAUAGUAGAUCACCCGCAACACGCCCACUAAUAGCAGGUGCAAUUUUUCAGUUUGCACAUGCAAUUUAGCGAUGCUAUUUGGGAUCUUAGUAGAUCAGGCCCUAUGUGUAUUUUCACCUGUUGCAGACACAACACAAUAUGUAGUUUGAUCAGCUUUGAGGUUUAGUUUUGUGUAAGAUUCUACACACAGGGUUUAAAGCACUAGUGAGGAACUGCAGGUUUAGAUCUGUUUCAGCAGCCCCUUUGCACACUGUUUGUCUGAUGCACCAUCUGUCAAUAGGCAACAGCUUCUGGUCCCCACUAGUUAAAACUUGAUUAUACCAGGAUACCUUUUUUCUUCAGUACAUCACAUCAGAGGAAUACAUUUAUGCCAUCACACUAUUCUGUAAUUGAGUUACAUGUAAAAUAAAUAAAUGAUUUGUAAAGGUGCAAUUAAAGCAACAUUAAUGAAUAUAGACUGUAUAUAGAAUGGAUGCUGUCUGCCUCCUUGCUGGGUGACGCCACCCUAAGAAGAGCACCCUCUAGUGACGGCUGCAGUAUAAAUCUCACCUACUCCAGCAAUCCCCAUGGAGCUGUGGACAAACUUUAAAAAUUAAUAACACAAAAUAUAAUUUUUUCUCCCUCCUGGUUGCAAUGUUGACAUGUAGUUACUGUAAGACUAGUUUGUGCUCAAGUCCUCUUUUUUCUGUACAGCUCCGUUUUUAAAAGUUAUUAGGCGGUUCAUGAUUUCUAUGAUUGACCCUUGAUACGGGUUUAUGCAGGUGGAGAUCUGUUCAGACUCUGAACGAACGAGAGCCUCUUAGCUCCCUUUGUGACAAUAACAUCAAGUAUUUCCAACAGAUACGUCUUUGCUGACAUUCAAAACACAGAGAGAUCUAAGGAUACAUAUUCAACAGCUGUGCAACCUGGGACAAUCUCAUGCGCAUUUUUUCUAAAGUCUCCAGGUAACAGGGUCACUUUUUACACCGAAACACCGGCAUGUUGAGCUAGACUAGCACAUUACGCAUUGGUACUAAUUCAAAUGGUGGCUGAAUACAGAUGUGUCUGUACACAGACACUGAACAGCAUUGGGAUAUUUUGCUGGAGAAGCGCAUCCGGCUGCCUCAUGCAACCCCCCGUACUCUUAUCAACCGCUGUUUGUUAGCUUAGCAUUCUAAAGCUUCUGCUAGUGAGUCUCUGCCUCUG
Molecule: long non-coding RNA, 4212 nt
Filed under: Xyrichtys novacula (pearly razorfish)
Lineage: Eukaryota; Metazoa; Chordata; Actinopteri; Labriformes; Labridae
Source: RNAcentral